RNAcentral lists this ribosomal RNA (805 nucleotides) under uncultured Flavobacteriaceae bacterium. Its description in RNAcentral is "bacterial SSU rRNA". It matches the Rfam family "Bacterial small subunit ribosomal RNA", at positions 58 to 857 of the family's 1533-position model. The record is from RNAcentral. Lineage: Bacteria; Pseudomonadati; Bacteroidota; Flavobacteriia; Flavobacteriales; Flavobacteriaceae.
CAAGUCGUGGGGCAGCAGGUCUGUAGCAAUACAGAUGCUGGCGACCGGCAAACGGGUGCGGAACACGUACACAACCUUCCUUUAAGUGGGGGAUAGCCCGGCGAAAGCCGGAUUAAUACCCCGUAACAUAUUGAAUAGGCAUCUAUUUAAUAUUAAAGCUCCGGCGCUUAAUGAUGGGUGUGCGCCUGAUUAGGUAGUUGGCGGGGUAACGGCCCACCAAGCCUGCGAUCAGUAACUGGUGUGAGAGCACGACCAGUCACACGGGCACUGAGACACGGGCCCGACUCCUACGGGAGGCAGCAGUAAGGAAUAUUGGUCAAUGGACGCAAGUCUGAACCAGCCAUGCCGCGUGGAGGAUGAAGGUCCUCUGGAUUGUAAACUUCUUUUAUCUGGGACGAAAAAGGGUCUUUCUAGAUCAACUGACGGUACCAGAUGAAUAAGCACCGGCUAACUCCGUGCCAGCAGCCGCGGUAAUACGGAGGGUGCAAGCGUUAUCCGGAUUCACUGGGUUUAAAGGGUGCGUAGGUGGGUCUGUAAGUCAGUGGUGAAAUCUCCGAGCUUAACUUGGAAACUGCCAUUGAUACUAUAGAUCUUGAAUAUUGUGGAGGUCAGCGGAAUAUGUCAUGUAGCGGUGAAAUGCUUAGAUAUGACAUAGAACACCAAUUGCGAAGGCAGCUGGCUACACAUAUAUUGACACUGAGGCACGAAAGCGUGGGGAUCAAACAGGAUUAGAUACCCUGGUAGUCCACGCCCUAAACUAUGGAUACUCGACAUUUGCGAUACACUGUAAGUGUCUGAGCGAAAG